GUUUGAUCAUGGCUCAGAGUGAACGCUGGCGGCAGGCCUAAUACAUGCAAGUCGAACGGCAGCACGGCAGAGCUUGCUCUGUGGGUGGCGAGUGGCGGACGGGUGAGGAAUACAUGGGAAUCUGCCCAGUCGUGGGGGAUAACGUAGGGAAACUUACGCUAAUACCGCAUGCGCCCUUCGGGGGAAAGCCGGGGACCUUCGGGCCUGGCGCGAUUGGAUGAGCCCAUGUCGGAUUAGCUAGUUGGCGGGGUAAUGGCCCACCAAGGCGACGAUCCGUAGCUGGUCUGAGAGGAUGAUCAGCCACACUGGAACUGAGACACGGUCCAGACUCCUACGGGAGGCAGCAGUAGGGAAUAUUGGACAAUGGGCGCAAGCCUGAUCCAGCCAUGCCGCGUGAGUGAAGAAGGCCCUCGGGUUGUAAAGCUCUUUUGUCCGGAAAGAAAAGCGCCGGGUUAAUACCCUGGUGUCCUGACGGUACCGGAAGAAUAAGCACCGGCUAACUUCGUG
RNAcentral lists this ribosomal RNA (507 nucleotides) under uncultured bacterium. Its description in RNAcentral is "bacterial SSU rRNA". It matches the Rfam family "Bacterial small subunit ribosomal RNA", at positions 11 to 507 of the family's 1533-position model. The record is from RNAcentral.